GGUGCACACACGUCCGCGCUGGAAGAGACACUAGCUCUGGGCCGGCUGCUCGCUUCCCUCCAGCGGCACGAUUCCCCUUCAGCACAACCUGUCCCGCGCCGCCGGGGACGGCGAGCUUGGCCCUCUGUGGUUCGCGAUGACCCACACAGUUCUUUGGGGGUUCGGACGGCCCGCGCCACUUUGCAGUUGGAAAAAGGAAGGCUGAAAGAAGUUGAGGAAUUAGCUCUGGGUCGCGCGGCUGCAGCAGACCCGCGCUCUCGACCCCCAAACCAGGCGCUCUCUCUAAUACUUGGAAGGAAAGGGGGACUUGGAGGCGGCCUAGGGUGCACCUGCAGCCGCGCAGACGCGAGCCCCGCGGCCGUCAGAGGGCCCGAAGGACCCUGCCGCCUGGGCUGGGCCUCCGCAGCCGGCGCCUUUGCCCUCGCCGCGGGAGCCGGGACCCCGCCGCGGCCACCCCAGCUCGGCGGGGGGACUCCCGAGGCCCCGCAGCGCCCCGGGCUGGGCAACUUCCUCUUGCCCGCGGCGCUUCUCGAAAACCCGCGGCCGGAGGACGGGGCCUCGUCCAGGGCCGGCCGAGGCCCGCGGCGCCUUGGUGGGUCCUGGGGCGGUGCUGGGGCGGGUGCUGGGGCGGGUGCUGGGGCGGUGCUGCCCAAGCCGCGCGGCCAGGUGGGCGGCGGUCGGGCCGGGCGCUGCGGGUCGGGGCCUCGCAGGCGGCCUCCAAGCUCCCGCCGACGCCGACGCCGACACCGCCGGGCCCAGAAGCGGGCCUCGGCCGCCGCAGCGCCGACGGUUCCUGGGCGCCUUCGCCGAAAGCUCGGCUGGGCCUGGGCCUGGGCCUGGGCCUGGGCCUGGGCGCCGCUAGGACGCGGAGCCCCGGCGCGGGGAGGCGCCGCAGCCUGGACCGGCGAGGGCUUCUCCACACCUAAGGCGGGCUUCCUGGGCGACACGCGCCGAGCGGUGAGGCCCCACACUGGCAAGCGUUCGCUCUGUUUUCGAGCAUCUCCUCUCUGCGACGCCCAGACCCAGUCGCACACUUUCUCGUGGUUCCGAAACUUGCAAAAUUUCCUCGCGCGCCUGCCACAGGGCUCGGUGCCUUCCCUCUCGCCAUCCGGGCGCCGGCUGGACCAAGUUCUCCGCUGGGCUCCGUCCCUCCCUUUCUGUCUGGGCCUGAGCGAGCGGCUUCGACUCUCUGUGCUUUGGUUUCCGCAUCUGUGA
RNAcentral lists this long non-coding RNA (1215 nucleotides) under Canis lupus familiaris (dog). RNAcentral describes it as "lncRNA (ENSCAFG00040000963.1)". Lineage: Eukaryota; Metazoa; Chordata; Mammalia; Carnivora; Canidae. The record is from RNAcentral.